UUUUUGCUCUGAUAUGCCUCGCGGCUGUUGCCGGAGUUCUUGCCCAGGCACCAACCGAAUCCCCUUCAACAUCUCCCUCGCCAAAAACUUCCCCAUCGGACUCUAAAUCGCCUUCUCCGUCUUCUUCUUCUCCCGCAGCCUCUCCAAAUGCCUCAUCUGAGUCAUCACCGUCCCCAACAGCUUCUGCUCCAUCUUCGUCCUCCGAGGCUCCAACCAGCAAAUCGCCCACCAGCUCCCCGGAAUCCUCCCCUUCCAUUUCUCCUUCUCCAGCGACCGACUCUCCUGCUGACUCUCCUGCUGAUUCCGAUGCUGACACCCCGAUCGCUGCCUCACCGGGUUCCGAUGUCUCUUCUCCCCCAUCCCCUGAUGCCGCGGAUGGCCCCGUUGCUGAUGGCCCUUCGGCUGAUGGCCCCACCGCUGAUUCUCCUGCUGAUUCGCCCGCUGGUGCUGACGGCAGCGGCGCUUCAGGUCUGAAACUCACCUCUGCCGUCGCUGGUGGUGCCGUCGCCG
RNAcentral lists this unclassified non-coding RNA (510 nucleotides) under Hevea brasiliensis (rubber tree). The record is from RNAcentral. Lineage: Eukaryota; Viridiplantae; Streptophyta; Magnoliopsida; Malpighiales; Euphorbiaceae.